UUACAACAUGCAUUGGACGUGUAUACACCAGAAGUCUUUACCUUGUUCCAGAAGGAAUACAUACCCAUCUUUAGAGUCCAUAUUGAAUUCAUAUACACCAGAAGUCUUUACCUUGUUCCAGAAGGAAUACAUACCUAUAGGUGAUUAUGUUGCCAAAAGGGUCAAUAAGUCUGAGAUGGUGAGUGCUGAAUACAAUGUAUCUUUUUGUGGUGUUGGAAGAAAUCAUUUGGUUAACUAUGUUGCUGCAAACGAAAUGAUACAUUGUAGUUGCAUGAAGUUUUCUUUUGGCGGAAUCUUAUGUCGUCAUGCAUUAAAAGUGUUGGCAAAGAAGGAUGUUAGAAGAAUUCCACCUACUUACAUUCUGAAUCGAUGGAGUAAAGAGGCUAAAGCACGAACCAUAUUCUUUUACCAUUCAGCGACACCUAAUGAUACAGUGAAGCAAUCGAUCGGAAAGCGAUAUAGUCAUAUAUGUCGUACUUUCCGUGAGAUUGCGUUUGUUGCUGCUGACGUUGUGUGCAGAUGAAGCUGCCUCUCAGUUGCUUGAAAAAUUGGUGGAAAAGAAAAAGGAACUUGUGAAAGGUAAUAAAUGGAUGGUCCACUCUUCAGAUUUUGAACUUAUGGAAGAAGAAGAUGAAGAAGAAGUUCUAAACGCACGUGGAAUAAAAAGAAA
RNAcentral lists this long non-coding RNA (670 nucleotides) under Brassica napus (rape). Its description in RNAcentral is "long non-coding RNA (BNAP_LNC021744)". Lineage: Eukaryota; Viridiplantae; Streptophyta; Magnoliopsida; Brassicales; Brassicaceae. The record is from RNAcentral.